Long non-coding RNA from Haplochromis burtoni (Burton's mouthbrooder), 1522 nucleotides. RefSeq lists it as uncharacterized. NCBI's taxonomy places the organism in Eukaryota, Metazoa, Chordata, Actinopteri, Cichliformes, Cichlidae. The record is from RefSeq and is a predicted model, not a curated record. The transcript is spliced from 3 exons.
AGACUGUUUUUAUGAUUUGGUGCUAAAAAUGAAAAUGAAUUGAAAAUGAACCAAAUUGUUCAUAAAGUAACUGAUACAUUCUGACCUCGCAGGUUUGGGUUUUAAAGCUUUGUGCAGCACUGACUGGGAGGUAGAAGAGGCCAACAGGUGGUAUCGGUUAAAAACCAGUCAUGACGUGGGGGUAUUUGUGAGUAUCAGAAGUGUACACAUCAUUUGCGAUUUUGUGCCUUGUUGCCCGAGGAGAAAAACAUUAAAGAUUAUUUUUUAAUGUUUCUUCAGAAACACUUUCUCCUGGUUUCAGGUAACGGCUGCCCAGCUGCAGCGUGAGAAUCCUCUCCAGAGUCCGUGCUUUGAUAACAGCAGGACGUCUCUCCGAUACAGGGAACCAACCAUCUUCUCUGAGAGACGGUACACAAACACAGAUGGUUUCUGAACUCCGUGCAUCAGUGUUGGCAUUGUGGCUGCAGGAGGCACCGUGAUUGGACAGGGUGGUGCUAACCAGCGAGCUCUGCUAGCAAGCUUCAUCCACAUAGGCUUUGAGGAACAGACUGCUCACCUGCUGUGCAGUACGUCCCACCCCCACAGGUCUACUGAGACACGACGUGGAUCUCCUCACCUGUCAGCAACCAUCACCUGUUUCACUUUAAGACCACAGGGAAACCUUUUGCGCGUCGGUUUCUAGUAAUCAGACUGAUUCAGCGUUCAGGGAACUUUGGGUUUCCGACUGCCUUCAGCAGUUUAACAGCCUGUGACGGUCGGAGCAGCACCAAGGUGUGGCCGACAGCUCACAGCACACCUGUUCUUCUCACUUCUGGCUCCAUAUGUAAAGUCAGACUCCACUCAGACAGCUGUGCACGUGUCACAGUUGAAAACAGUUUCCACAGGGCUCUCAGCUGUGGUCAAAGCAGUUGGUAAAAUUAGCCACAUGUAGCACAAAUUGCUAAAACACAUUUUACUAUUGUUUGAUGAAAGAACGAGCCUGUCGGGGAAAUAAUGACGACAAACUGCACGACUCUGAAGUAAGAGACUCGACUAAACUGGCUGCCUGCUGGUUACAUUCUGUAUAAAACACAGGUAUGUGUAGUUUAGCAGUUACACGUCACUAUUUGUAUCUGUUUCACGACUCUGAAUGUAAGUGAUUAAUAUGAAUUUUGGAUUUCUGUGUGCAUAGAUGGAAAGCAGAUCUCUGUUUUUCACGGAUUUAUUACAGUUAUUUGCCGUAUAACCACAAACACAUAUACACGUUAAGGUCGGGUGAUUGGAUGAAUAUAUCGAGGAUCUGCGAUAGGCUGAGCCUUUCGCUUUUACAAGAGUGAUUAUUUAUUUAUUGAUUUGUCCAUGAGUAAGUUAGCUAAUAAUGUUGGUUGAAGCUAAGAAAGGAGUCGACGUGAAAAAUAACAGCACUGUUUUAAUGGCACUCUGUUCCAGCUGUGAGCAGAAGCAGAGAUUCGUUUACUCAAACUCAUAACAGAAAGAAAGGCAGCAGCUUCUGUUCAGGAAAAUAGAGAAAUAUUUUAUUUAA